This 253-nucleotide ribosomal RNA is filed under the name uncultured bacterium. Its description in RNAcentral is "partial 16S ribosomal RNA". It matches the Rfam family "Bacterial small subunit ribosomal RNA", at positions 524 to 776 of the family's 1533-position model. The record is from RNAcentral.
UACGGAGGGUGCGAGCGUUGUCCGGAAUUAUUGGGCGUAAAGCGCGUGUAGGCGGCCACACAGGUCCGCUGUGAAAACUCGAGGCUCAACCUCGAGCUGUCGGUGGAAACCGCGUGGCUAGAGUCCGGAAGAGGAGACUGGAAUUCCCGGUGUAGCGGUGGAAUGCGCAGAUAUCGGGAGGAACACCCGUGGCGAAGGCGGGUCUCUGGGACGGUACUGACGCUGAGGCGCGAAAGCGUGGGGAGCAAACAGG